Molecule: ribosomal RNA, 500 nt
Filed under: uncultured bacterium
Lineage: Bacteria
Description: partial 16S ribosomal RNA
Rfam family: Bacterial small subunit ribosomal RNA
Source: RNAcentral
AUUGAACGCUGGCGGCAGGCCUAACACAUGCAAGUCGAGCGGAUGAGGGAAGCUUGCUUCCCGAUUUAGCGGCGGACGGGUGAGUAAUGCCUAGGAAUCUGCCUGUUAGUGGGGGAUAACGCGGGGAAACUCGCGCUAAUACCGCAUACGUCCUACGGGAGAAAGCGGGGGCUCUUCGGACCUCGCGCUAACAGAUGAGCCUAGGUCGGUUUAGCUAGUUGGUGGGGUAAUGGCACACCAAGGCGACGAUCCGUAACUGGGCUGAGAGGAUGAUCAGUCAAACUGGAACUGGGACACGGGCCAGACUCCUACGGGAGGCAGCAGUGGGGAAUAUUAGACAAUGGGCGAAAGCCUGAUCCAGCCAUGCCGCGUGUGUGAAGAAGGUCUUCGGAUUGUAAAGCACUUUAAGUCGGGAGGAAGGGCUGUAGGCUAAUACCUUGCAGUUUUGACGUUACCGACAGAAUAAGCACCGGCUAACUUCGUGCCAGCAGCCGCCGUAA